This 1399-nucleotide long non-coding RNA is filed under the name Neogobius melanostomus (round goby). RNAcentral's name for it is "lncRNA (ENSNMLG00000023744.1)". Lineage: Eukaryota; Metazoa; Chordata; Actinopteri; Gobiiformes; Gobiidae. The record is from RNAcentral.
GAUGGCAUAUCGCAAGAAGAGAGUUACAGCCAGCAACUUUGGUCUUGUGUUGGCGGCAGUGAAGAGGAACUCUUACCCUCCUUCAUUAUUCAAAACGCUGCUUGGUCAUUACAACUUCAAGCAAGGAGCUCAUGCUUGUGAUUGGGGAAUCGUUCAUGAGCCAAAGGCUAAAGAAGAGUACAUGAAGCGCACUGGUGUGACCAUCCAGGAGAGCGGAGUGUUUCUCUCUGACAGUGGCCUGCUUGGUGGCUCUCCAGAUGGGACAGUAUCUGCUGACUGCAUCAUUGAGGUGAAAUGUCCUUAUGCAGCCAGAAAGAAGACCAUAAUUCAGGCAGCAGAGGCAAAGGACUUUUAUCUCAAACUGGAUGAAGUUACUGGCCUACUGAAAAUGAAGCCGACUCACAACUACUGGCAUCAAAUUCAGGGCAACCUGUACCUGACAGGAGCUGGCACAUGUCACCUGGUGGUAUGGACUCCGCUGGAUGUUGUAAUUCUGUUCAUCCAUAAAGAUCCAGCUUGGGCAAACAACAUUAGUGUUUUAGAAAUAUUUUAUAAGGACAUUUCCUGCCCCAUAUUCUCUCAGAUAUUAAAUGAUUAACCCUGCAUUUGUUUACAUGUUCUAAAUAGGGAUGUCAGGAUUCAAAUUUUUGAGUCACGAAUAUUAUGAGGAAAAAUGUUGCGAUUUCUUUACAAUUAUUCAUGAAUAGCGAAAUUUAGAAGAAAGAAUUUCUCAACCUUUACAGUUCUGUGUAAAUGUUCACAAAAGAGGACAUUUUACGUAUAUAUUUAUUUAAGGGUUGUUUUAAUUGAUAGCCUAUUGAAGGUUCAGCCUUUAUUUUUUAUCUUCAUGCUUUUGUCAUUAUAUAAAAAAGUAAUAUAAUAAAAAGUAAACUUAUAAAUAGGCAGUAGAAUAUCAUUAUUAUUAUUAUUAUUAUUAGCAAUACCUAUACCUACCUAGCUAGCUAUAAGAAAGCAGAUUUAUGUGGAUGUUUUUGAAAGAUCUAUGUCUUUCCAUGUGCUUACACUGUUCAUGUCCAUUUUUACGUGACAAACGCGGCUGCACAUGAUCCUUUUUUUUUUUUAACUCUUCCUUUGGCAGCUAUGAAAAUAAGAUUUGCACAUUUGACUUAUGAACCUGCCGUUGACUUCAUGCGUUUGAGCGGAUUUAACGCUGAGACGAUUUACCUUGGGCCCUAAAACUAUUACGAUUAACCUACUGUGAGCUUUUAUAACCGCGGUUAUUGUAAAAUCAGUUAAUCUUGACAUUCCUAGUUCUAAAGCAGGAUAUUCAGUUUGAAUGUUGUAGCCUCUCCCAAUUUGUAUAUAUCAAUAUCUGUGCAUUUGUACCAGUUAAACUGAUGUUUGUGUGUUUUGUUGUUUUAUUUAUUCUAAAAAAGAA